Molecule: unclassified non-coding RNA, 709 nt
Filed under: Hevea brasiliensis (rubber tree)
Lineage: Eukaryota; Viridiplantae; Streptophyta; Magnoliopsida; Malpighiales; Euphorbiaceae
Source: RNAcentral
GGAGGAUUGGAUAUGUUGGGCCAGGUAUAGAAAGGUACAAUUAUAACUUGGAAAGAAUUUUAGGUUCAGUAGCAAAAUGGAGCUUUGGACAUAGAUGUGUUCUUAUUCCAACUUGAUAUAGAGCAUUUCGCUGGCACUUUGAAGAUCAGCUCCAAAAUGGGCCUCAACCCACUGCGGUCCAAUCACGUGGCCCAAGUUUCACAACAAGAACAUUUAAAGCCACAUCACCGAUCAACCCCAGAAGAUACGGCUGGUGUAGUGGCGUUACCAGAGGCGGAAGUGAUUUAGCCCCAUGCUUCUAGGGGCUCUAGCUACCAAGUACCGAGAUCACUGAUGGAACGCUUCCAUGAUUAUAAUGCUCGAAUUUUCCCUCCAUAGCCAUAGUAGUUUAAAAGCCGUUCAUCUUGCCGCCAAUUCUCUUUAACUUUCACUUCUAUCUCGAGAUAAACUUUCUUUUGCAAGAAAUCUUCAAUGUCAAGCCGCGCAGCUGUUGCAAGUAAUUUCAGAGCCUUUCCUUCUUUUCCGAUGAUGAUGAUCUUCUGAGAGUUCUUCUCAACAACUAUCUCUACUUGUAUAAAAUCUUUUGCUGUGGACCUACUUUUGUAAUUCACCACAUUGACCUGACAUGCAUAAGGAACUUCAUUGCGAAAUUGCAUAAAGAUUUUUUCUCUUACAAUUUCAGCUACAAAAAAUCUCUCUGGAUGUUCAC